Molecule: small RNA, 97 nt
Filed under: Chelonoidis abingdonii (Abingdon island giant tortoise)
Lineage: Eukaryota; Metazoa; Chordata; Testudines; Testudinidae
Description: TUC338 (ENSCABG00000011300.1)
Source: RNAcentral
UUUAUCCUUAGAACAGGUACAGUGUAGGCAAGCUUCCCUGACAGAGCUCUACCACAGUGGCUCAGUCCUGACCUGGGAGAACCACUUUAUGGAUAUG